UACGUAGGGUGCAAGCGUUGUCCGGAAUUAUUGGGCGUAAAGGGCUCGUAGGCGGUCCAUCGCGUCGGGAGUGAAAAGCUGGGGCUUAACCCCAGUCCUGCUUCCGAUACGGGUGGACUAGAGGUAUGCAGGGGAGAAUGGAAUUCCUGGUGUAGCGGUGAAAUGCGCAGAUAUCAGGAGGAACACCCGUGGCGAAGGCGGUUCUCUGGAACGGUACUGACGCUGAGACGCGAAAGCGUGGGGAGCGAACAGG
This 253-nucleotide ribosomal RNA is filed under the name uncultured bacterium. RNAcentral describes it as "partial 16S ribosomal RNA". It matches the Rfam family "Bacterial small subunit ribosomal RNA", at positions 524 to 776 of the family's 1533-position model. The record is from RNAcentral.